Juglans regia (Persian walnut) is the source of this 619-nucleotide long non-coding RNA. RefSeq lists it as uncharacterized. The transcript is spliced from 2 exons. NCBI's taxonomy places the organism in Eukaryota, Viridiplantae, Streptophyta, Magnoliopsida, Fagales, Juglandaceae. The record is from RefSeq and is a predicted model, not a curated record.
AAAUUUGGUUCUCUGCUUGUCAAUCUCUCCAUAGCGUGGCCUGAGACCUUGGCAGUGGCCAUGCGGCCCCCGACGAUGCCAUUACGCUCAAAGAAUCAGAUAAAGAGGGGAUUGACCAUAGAGAAUAAUGAAUAAAAAUGGAAUCAAAUACUUCAUUUCGUAUAUGGAGCACGAGAUGGGUGGAGAGGCAGACGAUGAGCCUCCAAACUCGGCUCGAGAGCUUGAACCCAUUUCCAUUUGUACCCUCUACAGCCCAUCUAUUGCAACUUCGAGCCCCAUAAAGAAAAUGUUUCUAACUAUUAUAUGGGUGUCGCUGCGGCUAAAGGAUGAGAGAGAGAGAGAGAGAGAGAGAGAGAGAGAGAUUUGUUCAGAGAAUAAAUUGGAUUGAACUGAGAGAGUGAAGGAUGAUAGGAUAGCAGAUGUGUUUAUAAAUGGUGGUCGUAAAAAGGUUAAGAUGUAAGGGGCACAUCACUUUAAUUAGAAUUAUAUUCAAAGUGAAAUGUCCAAUAAAGCCCCAGGCUGCUUUGUUGAUUUGUGUGUUCCAUGUGACUACUCUUUGUAUAAUGGCAUCGGGCUAAAAGUGUACAACACUAUUUAUCUCAAAAGUAAUUUUUUUUUA